RNAcentral lists this ribosomal RNA (263 nucleotides) under uncultured archaeon. RNAcentral describes it as "partial 16S ribosomal RNA". It matches the Rfam family "Archaeal small subunit ribosomal RNA", at positions 748 to 1009 of the family's 1478-position model. The record is from RNAcentral.
UAGCCGUAAACGAUACUCGCUAGGUGUCGGCCACGGUGCGACCGUUGUCGGUGCCGUAGGGAAGCCGUGAAGCGAGCCACCUGGGAAGUACGGCCGCAAGGCUGAAACUUAAAGGAAUUGGCGGGGGAGCACAACAACGGGUGGAGCUUGCGGUUUAAUUGGAUUCAACGCCGGAAAUCUUACCGGGACCGACAGCAACAUGAAGGCCAAGCUGAAGACUUUGCCGGAUUAAGUCUGAGAGGAGGUGCAUGGCGUAGACGUCU